This 460-nucleotide ribosomal RNA is filed under the name uncultured bacterium. RNAcentral's name for it is "partial 16S ribosomal RNA". It matches the Rfam family "Bacterial small subunit ribosomal RNA", at positions 28 to 507 of the family's 1533-position model. The record is from RNAcentral.
GACGAACGCUGGCGGCGUGCUUAACACAUGCAAGUCGAGCGGUAAGGCCUCUUCGGGGGUACACGAGCGGCGAACGGGUGAGUAACACGUGGGUGACCUGCCCUCAGCUCUGGGAUAAGCCUGGGAAACUGGGUCUAAUACCGGAUAUGACCUUUCCUCGCAUGGGGCUUGGUGGAAAGUUUUUUCGGCUGGGGAUGGGCCCGCGGCCUAUCAGCUUGUUGGUGGGGUGAUGGCCUACCAAGGCGACGACGGGUAGCCGGCCUGAGAGGGCGACCGGCCACACUGGGACUGAGACACGGCCCAGACUCCUACGGGAGGCAGCAGUGGGGAAGAUUGCGCAAUGGGCGGAAGCCUGACGCAGCGACGCCGCGUGGGGGAUGACGGCCUUCGGGUUGGAAACCUCUUUCGACCCCGACGAAUUUGGACGGUAGGGGUAGAAGAAGCACCGGCCAACUACGUG